GUCUCUGAUGAUGAUUAAAAGAAAACUUCCGUUCUUUCGAGUUUAUCCAAGUGGAAAUUUUAUGGAGACCUGAACUGAAGAGAA
This is a small nucleolar RNA of Macleaya cordata, 84 nucleotides long. It matches the Rfam family "Small nucleolar RNA Z159/U59". Rfam says of the family: This family consists of several snoRNA Z159 or U59 sequences which are members of the C/D class of snoRNA which contain the C (UGAUGA) and D (CUGA) box motifs. This family seems to be found exclusively in rice. C/D box small nucleolar RNAs are known to act as a methylation guides for 18S ribosomal RNA in plants. The record is from Rfam. Lineage: Eukaryota; Viridiplantae; Streptophyta; Magnoliopsida; Ranunculales; Papaveraceae.